CAAAGAGUAGUUUAAGUAAGAAUACUGGCUUUGGGGGCCAGAGGUGGGUAUCCCUUUUUGA
Molecule: transfer RNA, 61 nt
Filed under: Daboia russelii (Russell's viper)
Lineage: Eukaryota; Metazoa; Chordata; Lepidosauria; Squamata; Viperidae
Description: tRNA-Pro
Source: RNAcentral